AGAGAUGUGUGAUGACGCAUAUCAAUAAGCGGAGGAAAAGAAACUAACAAGGAUUCCCUUAGUAACGGCGAGUGAAGCGGGAAGAGCUCAAAUUUGAAAUCUUCAAGGUUCUACCUUGACGAAUUGUAGUUUACAGAAGUGUUUUCUGUUAGUGGAGUGGCAAAAGUUCUUUGGAAUAGGACAUCAUAGAGGGUGAGAAUCCCGUAUUUGGUCAUUCCUCCUAGCGUUGUGAUACACUUUCAACGAGUCGGAUUGUUUGGGAAUGCAGUCCAAAAUGGGUGGUAAAUUUCAUCUAAAGCUAAAUAUUGGCGAGAGACCGAUAGCGAACAAGUACCGUGAGGGAAAGAUGAAAAGAACUUUGAAAAGAGAGUUAAACAGUACGUGAAAUUGUCAAAAGGGAAGCGUUUGACACCAGUGUUGUUUUUCCGAAAAUCAAUUACGAAUGUUUUGUUUUUGAGGAGUUAUGACUUCAUCGGCUUGCUCCUUUCUUUAUGAAACUUUCUUAAUGCACUUUUCGGUUAACAAGUCAACAUCAAUUUCUUUUGUUGUAAAAGGGUACGAGGAAGGUGGCUUUCUUUUCGGAGAAAGUGUUUAUAGCCUUUGAUCUCUGCAAUCGGAGAGAUUGAGGUCUGCAGCGUAGAUCCUUCGGGGUUAGAUACAUUUGUGCUAAGUUAUAGCUUUUCAUAGACAACUUGUUGACUAUGUUUAGUCUUGUAGCUUACUCGCUUAUGCUAUUUUACCUACGCUUAGGAUGUUGAACUACUGAGACAUAGA
RNAcentral lists this ribosomal RNA (774 nucleotides) under uncultured Neocallimastigales. RNAcentral describes it as "partial large subunit ribosomal RNA". It matches the Rfam family "Eukaryotic large subunit ribosomal RNA", at positions 23 to 644 of the family's 3401-position model. Lineage: Eukaryota; Fungi; Neocallimastigomycota; Neocallimastigomycetes; Neocallimastigales. The record is from RNAcentral.